Molecule: transfer RNA, 220 nt
Filed under: Villaria fasciculiflora
Lineage: Eukaryota; Viridiplantae; Streptophyta; Magnoliopsida; Gentianales; Rubiaceae
Description: transfer RNA-Leu
Source: RNAcentral
GGGAUAGGUGCAGAGACUCAACGGAAGCUGUUCUAACAAAUGGAGUUGGCUUGCGUUAGUAGAGAAAUCUUUCCAUCUAAAAUUCCGAAAGGAUAAAGUGAAGGAUAAACGUAUAUACGUAUUGAAUACUAUAUCAAAUGAUUAAUGACGACUCGACUUAAUCUGUAUUUUUUAUAUAAAAACGGAAGAAUUGGUGUGAAUAGAUUCCCAUUGAAGACAU